UUCCCGGGCUUGUACACACCGCCCGUCACACCACGAAAGUUGGCAAUACCCGAAGCCGGUGGCCUAACCCGCAAGGGAGGGAGCCGUCGAAGGUAGGGGUCGAUGAUUGGGGUG
Molecule: ribosomal RNA, 114 nt
Filed under: uncultured bacterium
Lineage: Bacteria
Description: partial 16S ribosomal RNA
Rfam family: Bacterial small subunit ribosomal RNA
Source: RNAcentral